Molecule: non-coding RNA, 1538 nt
Organism: Sus scrofa (pig)
Lineage: Eukaryota; Metazoa; Chordata; Mammalia; Artiodactyla; Suidae
Source: RefSeq, a predicted model, not a curated record
UUAAAAGAUCCAUUUUCUUUGUCAUCAUUUCUUUAUCAGGUUGAAUGAGAAGUGAUAGACUGGAAAGCAGAUGGCUCCUUCUCUGAGCUUAGAGGUCAAGCUUUCCAACAGGUUGACUUUAUCCAUCCUCUCACCAACUCCACUGGGAUCCACUUUACCCUAAGCUGGAGAAUGCACAUGGAAGAAGAUUCUGAAUAAACACAUUCAUGCAAGAUUCGGUUGCAGACCUUUGCUCGAUAGAAAAUGUAUGGUGAUUUCAAAGAGUAAUGUUUCAGAUGCAAUAAACAACGUUAACGGAAACACGGUUCUUGUUAAAGAAAAUGCUGUUUCAGGCUUAAGUCCCAGUGAUCAUAAAAGAUAUAUGAUGCAAUAAACAAAAUGAACCACAGGCAGACAGGUCCAUUUGAUGACUAACCACUGAUUGAAUUUUCCAACACUCCUGGACUUUCUGAGAGAUAAACUAUUCACAAAAGGUCCAUGUUAAAUAUAAGGCUGUCAUUUCUUUUUUAUGUUUCUAGUGAGGUCCAAGAACAGUAGAGGAUAUCCCCCCUUCUCCUUUCUUUUCUUUUUUUUUUCCUCCCUAUUGGUUGUUUGUGUUUUUGAAUUUUUUAUGAUGUGGGAAGACUGGCAAACAGUUGCUCUGAUUGUCAAAUGCCUUAAAUCAAGAAGAGAAAAUGCAAUAAAACACAGUUUCCAUGGUAACACAUUGUAACCUAGUACCUCUGGAUUAUGAGCCAGCUCACAUCUCUGAUCACUACUUGUUGACAGGCAUAAAUUGAGCCUAAAAGCAUUAAUUUUAGAGAUAAAACUGGAAUGUGGAGCUAUGUUAUAAUAAUGUUUAAACAUUUCCAGGGCAGUGGCAGCAAAUCAACACUGGUUAUGUCACUAUUUAAAUAAUGUUAAUAAAUUAAGCAUAAACACUUAAAACAUCUACUAGCUUUUCUAUAAAGAUGGAAUAACAAAUUUGUGUACACUCUUGAGGCUGCAAGUGGAAGCUGACAUGUUUUUGGUGGAGUUAAAAAAAUUAAAUGGAGUGAUCGAUGGAUGUUUUAAUUAGGAAUGGUUCCAAUAUGGAACUGAUUCUUUAAAACCUUGUUAAUAGAGAAGCUCCUAACUCUAUCUUAGGACAUACAUACACAAUAUUUCUGGAUGUUUCUCAGUAGACAUAAUUUCCUUUUUUUUCUUAAUAAGAAGAGACUCAAAUAAAAUGUGAAUUAUCACAUUAGAAUGUUUUUAAACAUGCCUUUUUUUAAAACACAUUUUAUUUCCAUGUUCUCAUUAGAAACAUACAUUUCCGCCACACAUCUUAAAGUUUCCAAAAAAAAAAAAAAGAUUGAUUGUCUUGUGUAUAUGGCUGCCUCCAGCUGUCUUCAGCAGUUACCCAUUAACCAAUACAAUCAACCAUCAAAAGGCAAUUUUUUCAAGGCUGUUUGUCACACUUCUAAAUAUAUCUUUAUGACAAGAUGGGAUUAAGAUGGUGGAGUAGAAGGACUGGAGCUCACCUUCUCUCAUAAAAGCAACAAAAUUACAACCAAUCA